RNAcentral lists this long non-coding RNA (613 nucleotides) under Rattus norvegicus (Norway rat). Its description in RNAcentral is "long non-coding RNA NONRATT005926". The record is from RNAcentral. Lineage: Eukaryota; Metazoa; Chordata; Mammalia; Rodentia; Muridae.
AUGAAGCUUAAAGGUCCGUCAUCUGGCAAGCGUAGUAAAUGGGAGAGUUGCUUCUGUUUUAUCUAGAGGAGUAUUUAACUGACUGCUUAUGGCUUCGUGAGUUGUCAUUGUCAUUGUCAUUAGGAAGGCGUGCCUGAACACAAACCCGGAGCACAGCCGCGUUGUGCACAGAAGGGGUGAACACACUUAAUUUAUUAAUUUACCAGGCUCAGUGAGAUCCUGCUGGGAGUUAUGGAGGACAGUGGCCAUCUUAAGUGAGGCGAGGCUUCCCCUCCAUGCUGUACGAUUGUAUGCAUGUUAGCCAGGUGGCGCACUUUAGCUUACCCUGGACAGAACCAUUAAGUGUGCUGGGAAGAAAGGGAGGCCUCUGCAGUAGAGAAGCCUGCUCGGAGGUCCCCGCUUCCUGACAUUGCAAGAACAACAGUGACAAAGCUACCGUGACGUGUGGACGGAGUCAGGCAGUGCUGUGCGAAGUAAACUACCUCAAGGUGUGACGUUACCUCAGCAAUGGUUUUUUGUUCCCUAAAUCCUGGUUUCUAAUUUUCUUUUCUUUCUUUCUUUUUUAAAUAUUUUUUUUUUGCGGCUUGCUGAUAUUUUAUAUAAAAAAAAAAAA